UUUCCGUAGGUGAACCUGCGGAAGGAUCAUUAUUGAAUGAACUUGGCGUGGUUGUCGCUGGCCCUCUAGGGGGUAUGUGCACGCCCGUCAUCUUUAUCUUUCCACCUGUGCACACUUUGUAGACUUGAAUAGUACUUUCCGAGACAACUCGGUCGAGAGGAUUUGCUGUGCUUUAAUGUCAGCUCUCCUUGCAUUAUCCAGGCCUAUGUUUUCAUAUACCCCAAAGAAUGUAACAGAAUGUAUUAUUGGACCUUGUGCCUAUAAACUAUAUACAACUUUCAGCAACGGAUCUCUUGGCUCUCGCCUCGAUGAAGAACGCAGC
Molecule: unclassified non-coding RNA, 322 nt
Filed under: plant metagenome
Description: partial contains small subunit ribosomal RNA, internal transcribed spacer 1, and 5.8S ribosomal RNA
Rfam family: 5.8S ribosomal RNA (bases 274-322)
Source: RNAcentral